This is a long non-coding RNA of Mus musculus (house mouse), 291 nucleotides long. RefSeq annotates it as predicted gene, 51890. The record is from RefSeq and is a predicted model, not a curated record. Lineage: Eukaryota; Metazoa; Chordata; Mammalia; Rodentia; Muridae. The transcript is spliced from 3 exons.
CUAAGAAUUAGAUGCCAGAAUAGAACCAGCAAUGGGCCAUAUGAGGAUUAUAAUUGGAAGCGAUUUGACAGGAAUUAUAAGGGUGAGGAAGCAAUCCUAGGCUAAAUCGUGGAAGAAGGAGAUGAAGGGAGACAAAAUCCCACACAAACUCUCACCAAAGAAUAACCAGAAGAUAAUUCUGCAUCAAACGUCUGAUAGAAUAAGCAGCCUUGAAGACCAAGGCACCAGGGAUGGAACUCAGGUCAUCAAACCCGAGAAGCACAUGCAUUGCCCUACUGAGCCAUCUCAUCU